GAUGAACGCUGGCGGCGUGCCUAAUACAUGCAAGUCGAGCGAACAGAUGAGGAGCUUGCUCCUCUGACGUUAGCGGCGGACGGGUGAGUAACACGUGGAUAACCUACCUAUAAGACUGGGAUAACUUCGGGAAACCGGAGCUAAUACCGGAUAAUAUAUUGAACCGCAUGGUUCAAUAGUGAAAGACGGUUUUGCUGUCACUUAUAGCUGGAUCCGCGCCGCAUUAGCUAGUUGGUAAGGUAACGGCUUACCAAGGCAACGAUGCGUAGCCGACCUGAGAGGGGGAUCGGCCACACUGGAACUGAGACACGGUCCAGACUCCUACGGGAGGCAGCAGUAGGGAAUCUUCCGCAAUGGGCGAAAGCCUGACGGAGCAACGCCGCGUGAGUGAUGAAGGUCUUCGGAUCGUAAAACUCUGUUAUUAGGGAAGAACAAAUGUGUAAGUAACUAUGCACGUCUUGACGGUACCUAAUCAGAAAGCCACGGCUAACUACGUG
This 497-nucleotide ribosomal RNA is filed under the name uncultured bacterium. Its description in RNAcentral is "partial 16S ribosomal RNA". It matches the Rfam family "Bacterial small subunit ribosomal RNA", at positions 28 to 507 of the family's 1533-position model. The record is from RNAcentral.